RNAcentral lists this ribosomal RNA (317 nucleotides) under uncultured Bacteroidales bacterium. RNAcentral describes it as "partial 16S ribosomal RNA". Lineage: Bacteria; Pseudomonadati; Bacteroidota; Bacteroidia; Bacteroidales. The record is from RNAcentral.
GGAGUCUGGACCGUGUCUCAGUUCCAGUGUGGGGGACCUUCCUCUCAGAACCCCUAGACAUCGUCGCCUCGGUGGGCCGUUACCCCGCCGACUAGCUAAUGUCACGCGAGCCAAUCCGUCACCGCCGUAACUUUCAACAAAGAAUGAUGUCAUCCCUUGUAUUAUGGGGUAUUAGGAGUCGUUUCCAACUGUUAUCCCCCAGUGACGGGCAUGUUGCUCACGCGUUACGCACCCUUCCGCCGGUCGCCGCCAGGUGUAUUGCUACUCCCGCGCUGCCCCUCGACUUGCAUGUGUUAAGCCUGCCGCUAGCGUUCAUC